This 266-nucleotide ribosomal RNA is filed under the name uncultured bacterium. RNAcentral's name for it is "partial 16S ribosomal RNA". It matches the Rfam family "Bacterial small subunit ribosomal RNA", at positions 89 to 354 of the family's 1533-position model. The record is from RNAcentral.
UGGCGACCGGCGCACGGGUGAGUAACGCGUAUCCAACCUGCCUUUACUAUGGGACAGCCCGUCGAAAGGCGGAUUAAUACCGUAUGUUGUCAUGUUGAUGCAUAUUUUCAUGACCAAAGGCUUCGGCCGGUAAAGGAUGGGGAUGCGUCUGAUUAGCUUGCCGGCGGGGUAACGGCCCACCGGGGCGACGAUCAGUAGGGGUUCUGAGAGGAAGGUCCCCCACAUUGGAACUGAGACACGGUCCAAACUCCUACGGGAGGCAGCAG